UAGGGAAUCUUCGGCAAUGGACGGAAGUCUGACCGAGCAACGCCGCGUGAGUGAAGAAGGUUUUCGGAUCGUAAAGCUCUGUUGUUAGAGAAGAACGUUGGUAGGAGUGGAAAAUCUACCAAGUGACGGUAACUAACCAGAAAGGGACGGCUAACUACGUGCCAGCAGCCGCGGUAAUACGUAGGUCCCGAGCGUUGUCCGGAUUUAUUGGGCGUAAAGCGAGCGCAGGCGGUUCUUUAAGUCUGAAGUUAAAGGCAGUGGCUUAACCAUUGUACGCUUUGGAAACUGUAGGACUUGAGUGCAGAAGGGGUGAGUGGAAUUCCAUGUGUAGCGGUGAAUUGCGUAGAUAUAUGGAGGAACACCGGUGGCGAAAGCGGCUCUCUGGUCUGUAACUGACGCUGAGGCUCGAAAGCGUGGGGAGCAAACAGG
RNAcentral lists this ribosomal RNA (429 nucleotides) under Bacillota bacterium. Its description in RNAcentral is "Firmicutes bacterium partial 16S ribosomal RNA". It matches the Rfam family "Bacterial small subunit ribosomal RNA", at positions 355 to 776 of the family's 1533-position model. The record is from RNAcentral. Lineage: Bacteria; Bacillati; Bacillota.